GUUUUUAUAAUUUAAUUUAAAAUAUUGAUCUUGUAAAUCAAUUAUAAGAUUGACUCUUUGAAAACU
This 66-nucleotide transfer RNA is filed under the name Hydropsyche rhomboana. Its description in RNAcentral is "tRNA-Thr". Lineage: Eukaryota; Metazoa; Arthropoda; Insecta; Trichoptera; Hydropsychidae. The record is from RNAcentral.